Mauremys reevesii (Reeves's turtle) is the source of this 590-nucleotide long non-coding RNA. RefSeq lists it as uncharacterized. The record is from RefSeq and is a predicted model, not a curated record. Lineage: Eukaryota; Metazoa; Chordata; Testudines; Geoemydidae. The transcript is spliced from 3 exons.
CCCCAGCAGAGCGUCCGGCCCCCCCGCGGGCCCGGGGAGAAGCCGCCGACGCCGAGGAGCAGCGGGGAAGCCAGGAGCUGCUGGAGCAGGCGGCAGCCGAGAGGCGGCAGCUCGUCUGGGAGUGGCAGGAGCUGCGAGGGUUUCUGGAGCAGCAGGAGCAGCGGCUGCUGGCCCGGCUGGAGGAGCUGGAGGGAGCCAUUGUCCAGAGAAGGGACGAGGGCGGCUGCAGCCUGUCCCGGGACAUUUCCCUGCUCGGCGAGAGGGGAGGAGACGAGGGGCAGCGGCCGCCGAGCCCCCCCCUGCAGGGUGCCGGGAGCUGUGGGGGCAGGUGAGUGCCGGGCUCCGUCUCGCUCCCCUCGUGGUGCGUUAGGGCUGAAUUCGGCGCUGGCCCCUGCCCCUGCCGGGCGACCCGCCGGCGCCGAGCCUGGGACUCUGCCUCGGCAAGGGGACGAGCCUGUCGCUCUCGGACAGCUGAGACGGGCCCCCCAGGGCUGUCAGACGUGGGCCAGGGGCCGGGCCGGGCCUGGCUGAGGUAGUCCCGUGGCCACGGCCCGUGUUCAGGGUCUGCAGAAUCUCAGCUUCCCGUUUAU